GCCCUGCUGCCCUGUAGUCCUGCUGGGGUGCCAUACCUGUUGCCCUGACGCCCUGCAAGAUCUGCAGCCCUGCCUCCCUGCUGCCCUGUAGCAUUGCUGCCCUGCUGCCCUGCUGCUCUUCUGCCCUGCAACCCUGCCUACCUACUGCCUUGCAUCCCUGCCGCACUGUGAGGCUUGUAGCAUUGCCGCCCUACACCCUGAACCCUGCAGCCCUGGGAGGCCUGUAGCCCUGCAGCCCUGCUGCUCUUCAGCCCUUCUGCCCUGCUGUCCUGCAUCCCUGAUGCCCUGUUGCCAUGCAGCCCUCCGAGGCCUGCCACCCUUCCACCCUGCUGCCCUACCUCCCUGCAGCCCUGCCGCCCUGGUAGGCCUACAGCCAUGCCGCCCUGCUGCCUGGCCACUCAGUGACCCUGAGAGGCCUGCAGCCCUGCCGCAAUGCUUCCCUGCUGCCUUGCCACCCUGCUACCCUGCAGCCCUUCCAGCAUGCUUCUCUGCAGCCCUACUGCCCUGCUGCCCUGCAGCCCUGCUGCCCUGCAAGGCCUGCAGCCCGGUCACCAGUGUCACCCACCCGGCCUUUAAGGUUUCUGAGCAGACACUGGACCCUGACCUGACUGGACGCUGCCUCCUCCGGCUCCCUCUCACUUACAGACACUACUUGGCCAUCUUAAAGACACAGACAGUGGUCCUGUAUGAGAUUAAGCCAUUUAACAUAUUUAUUGUGAUUUCAACAUUCAAAGGGAUCGACUCAGCCCCUGUUCAUCAGAGGGAAGAUAAAGUGCACACUGGGCAGAACCUUUUGUGAGGCUCUAUCUGUGAAAAUCAUAACAUUGCUUAAACCCCAUGUAUACUCAAAAUCUCUGUAACACGUUUUGUUAGAAAUAAAUAGUUUCCUGGAAGUUCUGUGCCUGAAGUU
RNAcentral lists this long non-coding RNA (910 nucleotides) under Vulpes vulpes (red fox). RNAcentral's name for it is "lncRNA (ENSVVUG00000024435.1)". Lineage: Eukaryota; Metazoa; Chordata; Mammalia; Carnivora; Canidae. The record is from RNAcentral.